AUAUCAAUAAGCGGAGGAAAAGAAACCAACAGGGAUUGCCCUAGUAACGGCGAGUGAAGCGGCAACAGCUCAAAUUUGAAAUCUGGCCCUAGGCCCGAGUUGUAAUUUGUAGAGGAUGCUUUUGGCGCGGUGGCUUCUGAGUUCCCUGGAACGGGACGCCAUAGAGGGUGAGAGCCCCGUAUAGUUGGACACCAAGCCUCUGUAAAGCUCCUUCGACGAGUCGAGUAGUUUGGGAAUGCUGCUCAAAAUGGGAGGUAAAUUUCUUCUAAAGCUAAAUACCGGCUAGAGACCGAUAGCGCACAAGUAGAGUGAUCGAAAGAUGAAAAGCACUUUGAAAAGAGGGUUAAACAGCACGUGAAAUUGUUGAAAGGGAAGCGCUUGUGACCAGACUUGCGCCCGGCAAAUCAUCCAGCGUUCUCGCUGGUGCACUUUGCCGGGAUCAGGCCAGCAUCGGUUUCCUUAGGGGGAUAAAAGCCUCAGGAACGUAGCUCCCCCGGGAGUGUUAUAGCCUGUUGCACAAUACCCUUCAGGGGACCGAGGUCGCGCUCUGCAAGG
RNAcentral lists this ribosomal RNA (555 nucleotides) under Paradiplococcium singulare. RNAcentral describes it as "eukaryotic LSU rRNA". It matches the Rfam family "Eukaryotic large subunit ribosomal RNA", at positions 40 to 609 of the family's 3401-position model. Lineage: Eukaryota; Fungi; Ascomycota; Sordariomycetes. The record is from RNAcentral.